Molecule: long non-coding RNA, 1037 nt
Filed under: Oryctolagus cuniculus (rabbit)
Lineage: Eukaryota; Metazoa; Chordata; Mammalia; Lagomorpha; Leporidae
Description: lncRNA (ENSOCUG00000035945.1)
Source: RNAcentral
AUGUCUCAAGGCAUUUCCAAAUGUCAGAGUGUGUGCGUGCGUGCGUGCGUGCGUGUGAGUGAUGCAAAACCAUCCCCAGUCACAGCCUUGCCCCUGGCCUGGCUGCUACGCAGUAACCUCCCUGCAGCCCUGGAAAUAAGUACCAAUCUCAGAGGAAAUCCUGACUCCAACAAGCAAGGCACACAUCAUACUUGUAAAAAUCCAAACAUAAUAACAGAGUGUCAGAGCAGAGCACACGUGUGCCGCUAAUUACAGACGGAGAAACAGAUGGCCUCACCCUCGUGGAAGAUUCGAGGAAAACCUCCGCGGAACGAGGCUCGGGAAAUGGCUCUGAUAGGCCGGCGGCAGAUGGAAGAGAGGCACGCUUUUGUCUCCUGUCUCAGCUGGUCUCCCUACUCUGUCAGGGCUGGAGAAGUCCCCUGUCAUUAGCGCGUCAGAGCAACAGCCAGAAACACAGGGGACGCCCGCACCUUUUUGGCAGCUGGAGAUGCUGGGAGAUUAAAGAAGCUGCGUGGAGGAAACGAGUGCUUCUCUAUAGCGGUUCCUCUUCCCAGCCCCUCUGACGGCGUCUCAGCCAGCGGCUCUCCCUGUGUCUGCUUGGGAGUCGUCUGUGUAUGUGUGUGUGCACGUGCGUGUGCAUGUCUGUGUGCAAGUGCGUGUGUGUGCAUACGUGCGUUUUUCACGUCUCCAUCACCUCCAUGAGUGGGGUAGGUAGAAUCAUGGCCCCCUAAGUGUGUCCCCGCCCCAGUCCCAGAAACCUCUGCCUGUGUUCUAUUGUGUGGCAAAGGGGAGUGAAGGGAGCCGUUGGGGUUGAGGCUGUUGAUGAGCUGACCUCGGAAAAGGAGGUGGCUGUGGACUGCCAGGGUGGGCCAGGAAGGGGGCUCAUGCUGUCCUCAGGUAGGGAAGAGGGAGGCACGGAAUCCUGUCGGGGUGGCUGACUGAGAUGGACUCAGCCAGGCACAGCCGGGCUACAGAUGGCCAUGGCUGUGAGCCACCACGUGGGCUGUGAGCAGCCCUGAGAAGCUGGAGAAGGCAGA